Molecule: ribosomal RNA, 301 nt
Filed under: uncultured bacterium
Lineage: Bacteria
Description: partial 16S ribosomal RNA
Rfam family: Bacterial small subunit ribosomal RNA
Source: RNAcentral
CAGCAGCCGCGGUAAUACGGAGGGUGCAAGCGUUAAUCGGAAUUACUGGGCGUAAAGCGCACGCAGGCGGUUAUAUAAGACAGAUGUGAAAUCCCCGGGCUCAACCUGGGAACUGCAUUUGUGACUGUAUAGCUAGAGUACGGCAGAGGGGGAUGGAAUUCCGCGUGUAGCAGUGAAAUGCGUAGAUAUGCGGAGGAACACCGAUGGCGAAGGCAAUCCCCUGGGCCUGUACUGACGCUCAUGCACGAAAGCGUGGGGAGCAAACAGGAUUAGAUACCCGAGUAGUCCCUGUCUCUUAUAC